UAGUAAUGCCCAGUGUAAAUUUAAUGUCUCCAUAACAAUAUUUCGGCCAUCAAGAUUCACAAUUCUCAACAGACCGUUAAGGCCGUUAAUUGGUAUAAAACACCUUCAAGUCAAGAGGUUCCUUAUGGUUAUUUUCCAAUCAGAUAAAAAAUGGAAAAGUCGGGUUUCUCCCAUAUUCAAAGGUCACUUCCAUCCGCAAGCGACCGGUGGUGGGGUGAUUCUCAAAUCAGUCAACAUCUCUUCAUUAGUUGUCAUCCUUAGAUCAGUCAACAUCUCUUGACUGGUUGUCCAUCUUUAAAUCAGUCAUUUGUUUAAGGGGGUAUUCUAGUCUAGAGACACGAAGUUCGGGCGCUUUUUCGAGCUCUGUAAAAAAAAUAAAGACAAUUUUUACUAUCAAUUUUUUAUCAUUCGUUUAUUUAUAUUUUAAGAAUACAUAAAAAAUGUAAAAAAUUAAAAACUCGAAAAGUUAUCGGUUGGUAAAGUGGAGGGGGGGUCCAAAAAAGGGAUGUCUUGACGUGCAUGGUUCCAAUCUUUCUGUUUAUCUGAAACAAAAACAUCCAACGGAUUCUUAAUCAGUAAAGAUGUCGCUAUCGCCCCUACUUCGGAGAAAAAAAUUUGUUUCACAAAAUGGCGUCCGUUUGAAAAAAAUUUUUUUUACAUUUCUUUUAACAGUUUCAAAUUUUUAAAAAAUAACUAUAUGUUAAAAUUUUUUAAUUUAAUCUGCUAAACGACAGAGGGAUGUAUAGAGAAAGUUCACACAAAAUUUCAAAUAAGUCGGUUCAGUAGAACUUCAGAUAUCAUGCAUGCCAGCUUGAAAAAAGUAGUUUCGAGAAAAACGCGUUUAAAGUUCUUUGAAGCAUCCGAAGCACGGAUUUUAGAGCGUUCGAUUCGAGUUUCGUCUCAUUUGACAGCGAACGUAUGGGCUUCUGGACCAAUCGUAAUUCCCAUAAAGUUCGCUAUUUUUAAAAUGAGUAUAAAACCUUUAUUAAAAAUAUUAACAGCGAGAAAAGUAACAAUUUCAACGGUCGCGUUCCUAUAUGAAUGUGUUUCGGAGCAAAAGUCUAUAUCAAAGAAUUUAACGAUUCGUUAUUAUUCUGAGUUUCAGAACCCAAACAUCGUUCUAAUAAGGUAUUUGCAGACAAACUUUUAUAAAUUGGUUUUAUAACUUGUUGAGGAAAUGUUAGGUUGGUAUAAUCACUGUGCGCGGACUGGGUCUGAGGGUCUCCUCUGCGAAGUCGGAGGCCAUCUGGUUCUAUGACAAGAACAGGCAAGGAACUCUUCUGUUCGGUCUGAGCAUAAACAUGGCAAGUGAAACCGUCGGGGUGGGAUCGCGGACGAAAUACCUGGAUCUCAUCAUCGACAGCCAGUGGACGUUCGAGCCGAUUCCCUGAUUUCGAAGUUGUCGGCGGCUGCCAAUACCUUGUGCGGCCUGCUGCCGAACAUCGGCGGGGAGGGAGUCGACUAUACGAGGGCGUCGUUCGGUCCCGAGUGGUCGUCGAGUUGUCGCAGCAUCCUGCUCCUCAGGAGGUUGCAGAGGAUAUCAGAAUCGCCAGAGGAUACCGAACAGUGUCCCACGCAUCGGCGACCGUUCUGGCCGCGUCUCCCCCGUGGGAGCUUCGGGCACUGGGGCUCAAGAGAAGAUACACCCACAUGAGAGUAUGGGACCGAGGAGAGGACCCGACCGACCUAGGGAUCGCCGAGGAGGACGCGUGGAACCAGUGGCGAUCCCAGCUGAUCAACGAGCGAGACGAACAUCGAAGCGCGAAAGCGGUCCUCCCAAACUGGGAGAUAUGGAGAAGCCGCCGCGGUCUCCCACUCACCUACAGAUUGACCCAGAUGCUCACGGGACAUGGCAUGUUCGGCGAGUACCUGAUGAAAAUCGGACGGGAGAGGACGGACAUCUGUCACCACUGCGGGCAGGCCAGGGAUACGGCGCAGCACACGCUGGAGUUUUCUCCGGCGUAGGAGCUGCCCCGCUAUACCUUGCGUCUCGUCAUAGGCGAGAGACUGAACCCCUCUGCGAUCGUAGAAACGAUGCUGAGUGGGCCACUGGAAUACGAGGCUGUCCGCCUCUUCUGCUCGCGAGUUAUGCACGCAAAGAAGCGAGCAGAAAGGGAGAGAAAGAGAAACUCUCACCUUUGUAGGAUAACGCGGUGGAGGGGGAUGGCGGUCAGGCGGCCUAGAGCUGCUUCAUCGCCGUCCCAUCGGACCGCGACUAGAAGGGGGGAUAACGCUAGGAGCAAUGCCCGCCCCCCUCCUAACGCCAAAUUCAACAGUCAGGGAAUUGUUAGGACUGGCUCAAACAAGAGGACGCGAUGGAAAGCAAAUUCAUAAGAGGUUCUUGGAGCACUCUUGUCAUACACGUAGGAUGAUCAUCAUGGAGUUUUAGUCUAUAAGAGUCCGAUACUACUCUGCUGUUGCCGAUUAUUAGCAGCAGCGGAGUAUUCAUGAGGAUUUCUCCACGUGCAAAAGAAAGGCGUCGACCACAUGUUAAUUAUCUAAGUGCAUCCGGUGUGUUCAUAUGGCUGUACAUGGCGGUGAAAUACAGAACGUAAAAACUGAA
Bombus terrestris (buff-tailed bumblebee) is the source of this 2563-nucleotide long non-coding RNA. RefSeq lists it as uncharacterized. NCBI's taxonomy places the organism in Eukaryota, Metazoa, Arthropoda, Insecta, Hymenoptera, Apidae. The record is from RefSeq and is a predicted model, not a curated record. The transcript has 2 exons.